AACAGCUUGGGUAAUUUCUUAUUUAUUUUGUUUAGUAAGUUUCUGGUCAGACAUAGACUUGAUUGGUUUUCUAGUUUUGUCAAAUACAUAAAAAAGAAGAUGUGGUAUGAUUGCCAAUGAGACAACUAUCCACAAAAGACCAAAAUGACACAGACAUUAACAACUAUAGGUCACCGUACGGCCUUCAACAAUGAGCAAAGCCCAUACCGCAUAGUCAGCUUUAAAAGGCCCCGAUAAGACAAUGUAAAACAAUUCAAACGAGAAAACUAACGGCCUUAUUUAUGUAAAAAAAAUGAACGAAAAACAAAUAUGUAACACAUAAACAAACGACAAC
RNAcentral lists this long non-coding RNA (334 nucleotides) under Mytilus galloprovincialis (Mediterranean mussel). Lineage: Eukaryota; Metazoa; Mollusca; Bivalvia; Mytilida; Mytilidae. The record is from RNAcentral.